UACGGAGGGGGCUAGCGUUGUUCGGAAUUACUGGGCGUAAAGCGCACGUAGGUGGCUUUGUAAGUUAGAGGUGAAAGCCCGGGGCUCAACUCCGGAAUUGCCUUUAAGACUGCAUCGCUAGAACGUCGGAGAGGUAAGUGGAAUUCCGAGUGUAGAGGUGAAAUUCGUAGAUAUUCGGAAGAACACCAGUGGCGAAGGCGGUCAUCUGGGCCAAUACUGACGCUGAGGAGCGAAAGCGUGGGGAGCGAACAGG
This 253-nucleotide ribosomal RNA is filed under the name uncultured bacterium. RNAcentral's name for it is "partial 16S ribosomal RNA". It matches the Rfam family "Bacterial small subunit ribosomal RNA", at positions 524 to 776 of the family's 1533-position model. The record is from RNAcentral.